RNAcentral lists this ribosomal RNA (251 nucleotides) under uncultured bacterium. Its description in RNAcentral is "partial 16S ribosomal RNA". It matches the Rfam family "Bacterial small subunit ribosomal RNA", at positions 524 to 774 of the family's 1533-position model. The record is from RNAcentral.
UACGUAGGUGGCAAGCGUUGUCCGGAUUUACUGGGUGUAAAGGGAGCGUAGGCGGCUGUGUAAGCCAGAAGUGAAAGCCCGUGGCUCAACUGCGGGACUGCUUUUGGAACUACAUGGCUUGAUUGCAGGAGAGGCAAGUGGAAUUCCUAGUGUAGCGGUGAAAUGCGUAGAUAUUAGGAGGAACACCUGUGGCGAAGGCGGCUUGCUGGACUGUGAAUGACGCUGAGGCUCGAAAGCGUGGGUAGCAAACA